RNAcentral lists this ribosomal RNA (486 nucleotides) under uncultured bacterium. Its description in RNAcentral is "partial 16S ribosomal RNA". It matches the Rfam family "Bacterial small subunit ribosomal RNA", at positions 30 to 507 of the family's 1533-position model. The record is from RNAcentral.
AUUGAACGCUGGCGGCAUGCCUUACACAUGCAAGUCGAACGGCAGCACGGGUGCUUGCACCUGGUGGCGAGUGGCGAACGGGUGAGUAAUACAUCGGAACAUGUCCUGUAGUGGGGGAUAGCCCGGCGAAAGCCGGAUUAAUACCGCAUACGCUCUACGGAUGAAAGCGGGGGACCUUCGCGCCUCGCGCUAUAGGGUUGGCCGGUGGCUGAUUAGCUAGUUGGUGGGGUAAAGGCCUACCAAGGCGACGAUCAGUAGCUGGUCUGAGAGGACGACCAGCCACACUGGGACUGAGCCACGGCCCAGACUCCUACGGGAGGCAGCAGUGGGGAAUUUUGGACAAUGGGCGAAAGCCUGAUCCAGCAAUGCCGCGUGUGUGAAGAAGGCCUUCGGGUUGUAAAGCACUUUUGUCCGGAAAGAAAGCCUUGGCCCUAAUACGGUCGUGGGAUGACGGUACCGGAAGAAUAAGCACCGGCUAACUACGUG